RNAcentral lists this small nuclear RNA (213 nucleotides) under Callorhinchus milii (elephant shark). RNAcentral describes it as "U2 spliceosomal RNA (ENSCMIG00000014190.1)". The stretch from base 1 to 136 matches the Rfam family "U2 spliceosomal RNA". From Rfam's summary of the family: U2 is a small nuclear RNA (snRNA) component of the spliceosome (involved in pre-mRNA splicing). Complementary binding between U2 snRNA (in an area lying towards the 5' end but 3' to hairpin I) and the branchpoint sequence (BPS) of the intron results the bulging out of an unpaired adenosine, on the BPS, which initiates a nucleophilic attack at the intronic 5' splice site, thus starting the first of two transesterification reactions that mediate splicing. Lineage: Eukaryota; Metazoa; Chordata; Chondrichthyes; Chimaeriformes; Callorhinchidae. The record is from RNAcentral.
GCAUCUUCUCAGCCUUUUGGCUAAGAUCAAGUGUAAUAUCUGUUCUUAUAGGUUAAUUCUGGGUUGUGCAGUACCUGGCAGUGAGCUCUGCCUUUGAGAUCUCGAAGCGGGAUGGUCGCCGUUGUUCUGACCCUCCUCAUGAUUAUUUAUUGGCGGUAGAUGCAGCAGGAAUGCCAGCCUCUGUUUGUUGGAAACAGGAUUCUAGCACAAUUC